Molecule: ribosomal RNA, 454 nt
Filed under: uncultured bacterium
Lineage: Bacteria
Description: bacterial SSU rRNA
Rfam family: Bacterial small subunit ribosomal RNA
Source: RNAcentral
UACGGGAGGCAGCAGUGGGGAAUAUUGCACAAUGGGCGCAAGUCUGAUGCAGCCAUGCCGCGUGUAUGAAGAAGGCCUUCGGGUUGUAAAGUACUUUCAGCGGGGAGGAAGGCGAUGCGGUUAAUAACCGCGUCGAUUGACGUUACCCGCAGAAGAAGCACCGGCUAACUCCGUGCCAGCAGCCGCGGUAAUACGGAGGGUGCAAGCGUUAAUCGGAAUUACUGGGCGUAAAGCGCACGCAGGCGGUCUGUUAAGUCAGAUGUGAAAUCCCCGGGCUUAACCUGGGAACUGCAUUUUGAAACUGGCAGGCUUGAGUCUUGUAGAGGGGGUAGAAUUCCAGGUGUAGCGGUGAAAUGCGUAGAGAUCUGGAGGAAUACCGGUGGCGAAGGCGGCCCCUGGGACAAAGACUGACGCUCAGGUGCGAAAGCGUGGGGAGCAAACAGGAUUAGAUACC